This 620-nucleotide ribosomal RNA is filed under the name Burkholderia vietnamiensis. Its description in RNAcentral is "partial 23S ribosomal RNA". It matches the Rfam family "Bacterial large subunit ribosomal RNA", at positions 588 to 1210 of the family's 2925-position model. RNAcentral also lists the same sequence under 1 other name. Lineage: Bacteria; Pseudomonadati; Pseudomonadota; Betaproteobacteria; Burkholderiales; Burkholderiaceae. The record is from RNAcentral.
AAGGGGUGACGGCGUACCUUUUGUAUAAUGGGUCAGCGACUUACGUUCAGUAGCAAGCUUAACCGUAUAGGGCAGGCGUAGCGAAAGCGAGUCCGAAUAGGGCGUUCAGUUGCUGGGCGUAGACCCGAAACCAGGUGAUCUAUCCAUGGCCAGGAUGAAGGUGCGGUAACACGUACUGGAGGUCCGAACCCACUAACGUUGAAAAGUUAGGGGAUGAGCUGUGGAUAGGGGUGAAAGGCUAAACAAACCUGGAAAUAGCUGGUUCUCUCCGAAAACUAUUUAGGUAGUGCCUCGUGUCUCACCUUCGGGGGUAGAGCACUGUCAUGGUUGGGGGGUCUAUUGCAGAUUACCCCGCCAUAGCAAACUCCGAAUACCGAAGAGUGCAAUCACGGGAGACAGACAUCGGGUGCUAACGUCCGGUGUCAAGAGGGAAACAACCCAGACCGCCAGCUAAGGUCCCCAAAUAUAGCUAAGUGGGAAACGAAGUGGGAAGGCUAAAACAGUCAGGAGGUUGGCUUAGAAGCAGCCACCCUUUAAAGAAAGCGUAAUAGCUCACUGAUCGAGUCGUCCUGCGCGGAAGAUGUAACGGGGCUAAGCUAUAUACCGAAGCUGCGGAUGCG